This 726-nucleotide ribosomal RNA is filed under the name uncultured bacterium. Its description in RNAcentral is "bacterial SSU rRNA". It matches the Rfam family "Bacterial small subunit ribosomal RNA", at positions 682 to 1398 of the family's 1533-position model. The record is from RNAcentral.
UGAAAUGCGGUAGAUAUCUAGAGGAAUUCCUGUGCGAAAAGCGACCUCCUGGACAAAAAACUGACGCUGAUGGUGCGAAAGCGUGGGAAGCAAACAGGGAUUAGAUACCCCUGGUAGUCCAUGCUGUAAACGAUGUCGACUUGAAGGUUGUUUCCUUGAGAAGUGGCUUCCGAAGCUAACGCAUUAAGUCGACCGCCUGGGGAGUACGGCCGCAAGGCUAAAACUCAAAUGAAUUGACGGGGGCCCGCACAAGCGGUGGAGCAUGUGGUUUAAUUCGAUGCAACGCGAAGAACCUUACCUGGUCUUGACAUCCAUAAAAUUUUUUAGAGAUAAAAAAGUGCCUUUACCGGAAUUAUGAGACAGGUGCUGCAUGGCUGUCGUCAGCUCGUGCUGUGAAAUGUUGGGUUAAGUCCCGCAACGAGCGCAACCCUUGUUCUCUGUUGCCAUCAGGUUAUGCUGGGAACUCAGAGGAGACUGCCGGUUAUAAGCUGGAGGAAGGUGGGGACGACGUCAAGUCAUCAUGGCCCUUACGACCAGGGCUACACACGUGCUACAAUGGCAUAUACAAAGAGAAGCAAAUCUGCGAAGACAAGCAAAACUCAUAAAGUAUGUCUUAGUUCGGACUGGAGUCUGCAACUCGACUCCACGAAGUCGGAAUCGCUAGUAAUCGUGGAUCAGAAUGCCACGGUGAAUACGUUCCCGGGCCUUGUGCACACACCGCCCGUC